This is a long non-coding RNA of Pan troglodytes (chimpanzee), 642 nucleotides long. RefSeq lists it as uncharacterized. The record is from RefSeq and is a predicted model, not a curated record. The transcript has 3 exons. NCBI's taxonomy places the organism in Eukaryota, Metazoa, Chordata, Mammalia, Primates, Hominidae.
UAGUCAAAGAGGGGCAGCAUCAAAGCAGACACUGCUUUUGGCAGUGAAAUGAGCAAAGAGUGCCCCCACGGGUAACCCUUCAUGUUGGUGAGGACAUGGGAAAGCACUGCUACAAAUCUCUGGAGAACAAUUUCUAUGAAGUGUGAAGAAUAGAGUUUUUGACAUUGUACUUGUUCUCUUCACUCUUCGGGAUUCUAUAAGAGAUGUCCAGCAAGCAGCAGAGCUGGGCUUACGAUGUCGUACCAAGCAUGGAAGGAAGCACUGCAAAGCUGACAUCAGCACAAAUACCUGUGGAAACUGCAGGGGGCAAGGCAAUGAGGUGCUACUUCAAGUAACGGAAGCUUCUUUAUGGUUCACUGAGGAGAGUCAACCCCUUCACAAUCUAGAACACAAAGAUGGGAUCUUCUGAGAACGUCAGAGAAAGACUGCCAUUGCCAUCCUCACUGCAAUAAAACUUUGGAAACUUGAACCUUGAGUUCAUCAUCUCACGACUGAGAAGGGUCCCUCCACACUCUUGGAACUGGACACCCAUUGGAACCCUUAAGGUAAAGCUAACCAGGGAAGUUUCUCCCCAGAAGUAGUUGGCAUCCUUGAUGUGACCAACUUUUCCCAAGAUCACGGAUCAAGAAUUCUAUCACGAGA